Molecule: long non-coding RNA, 208 nt
Filed under: Mytilus galloprovincialis (Mediterranean mussel)
Lineage: Eukaryota; Metazoa; Mollusca; Bivalvia; Mytilida; Mytilidae
Source: RNAcentral
GAAAAUAAUUGACAAAUACAUCGAAGCCGAUGCCGUACAAGAAGCUUUUACAGACAAUAUAGAAUUUAAACAUGUAGUACUAGACAAUUAAAUGAUAUAUAAUUGAAAAUCUAUAAAGUUCUAUCCUAUUUUGGUAGUAUUCCUAGUAGUUUUGUGUAGAUACAUUUAAUGUAAUCCAGCUAUAACCUUUCUACUAUACAAAUAAAGG